Molecule: ribosomal RNA, 253 nt
Filed under: uncultured bacterium
Lineage: Bacteria
Description: partial 16S ribosomal RNA
Rfam family: Bacterial small subunit ribosomal RNA
Source: RNAcentral
UACGAAUGGGGCAAGCGUUGUUCGGAAUCACUGGGCGUAAAGCGUACGUAGGCGGUUAUGCAAGUCAGAAGUGAAAUCCCAGGGCUCAACCUUGGAAUUGCUUUUGAAACUGCAUAGCUAGAGUCCCGGAGAGGUUGGCGGAAUUCCGAGUGUAGAGGUGAAAUUCGCAGAUAUUCGGAGGAACACCAGUGGCGUAGGCGGCCAACGGGACGGGAACUGACGCUGAGGUACGAAAGCGUGGGGAGCAAACAGG